This 594-nucleotide ribosomal RNA is filed under the name Pseudomonas sp. EECC-112. RNAcentral's name for it is "bacterial SSU rRNA". It matches the Rfam family "Bacterial small subunit ribosomal RNA", at positions 88 to 678 of the family's 1533-position model. Lineage: Bacteria; Pseudomonadati; Pseudomonadota; Gammaproteobacteria; Pseudomonadales; Pseudomonadaceae. The record is from RNAcentral.
CUUGAGAGCGGCGGACGGGUGAGUAAUGCCUAGGAAUCUGCCUGGUAGUGGGGGAUAACGUUCGGAAACGGACGCUAAUACCGCAUACGUCCUACGGGAGAAAGCAGGGGACCUUCGGGCCUUGCGCUAUCAGAUGAGCCUAGGUCGGAUUAGCUAGUUGGUGAGGUAAUGGCUCACCAAGGCGACGAUCCGUAACUGGUCUGAGAGGAUGAUCAGUCACACUGGAACUGAGACACGGUCCAGACUCCUACGGGAGGCAGCAGUGGGGAAUAUUGGACAAUGGGCGAAAGCCUGAUCCAGCCAUGCCGCGUGUGUGAAGAAGGUCUUCGGAUUGUAAAGCACUUUAAGUUGGGAGGAAGGGCAGUUACCUAAUACGUGAUUGUUUUGACGUUACCGACAGAAUAAGCACCGGCUAACUCUGUGCCAGCAGCCGCGGUAAUACAGAGGGUGCAAGCGUUAAUCGGAAUUACUGGGCGUAAAGCGCGCGUAGGUGGUUUGUUAAGUUGGAUGUGAAAUCCCCGGGCUCAACCUGGGAACUGCAUUCAAAACUGACUGACUAGAGUGUGGUAGAGGGUGGUGGAAUUUCCUGUGUAG